This 916-nucleotide long non-coding RNA is filed under the name Gossypium barbadense (sea-island cotton). Its description in RNAcentral is "long non-coding RNA (GBAR_LNC022681)". Lineage: Eukaryota; Viridiplantae; Streptophyta; Magnoliopsida; Malvales; Malvaceae. The record is from RNAcentral.
UUUGUGCAAAGAACAUAAGAAAUAAAGAAAAAAUAAAAGGGAGACUCCCUUUUCUCUGCUAGGGUUCCAAACCAGAAACCCCGCCGCCAUCAAGCCUCCACUGCCAGGUGGCCAGAGCCAUGCGAGGACGCCUCCUCUCGGCGCAUUGAAGCGCAUUCAGAGGUCGAGGCUAUGGAAGCAAAGGGAAAGAGAAGAGCUUUGGCCCCUCUCCAAACCCACAUCCGACAACGGUGAAGCGCCAUCAACGGCGGGCCUAAGGGCCGAUUUAGGUAACUCUUUUCUUUUCGCUUUUUUUAUUUUUUUACCUUAAAAUAGAUUUGAAAUAAAAUAAAAAAUAAUAAUAACUAUGAAAAAGAGAACGGAAAGAACAGUUCUUUUAAAGAAGAACAACCUUUUGAAACUUCAGUUUCUGAUUUUCGAUUUACUGAUGGGUGUUCGUAAAAAAACUUACAAGAGGAUCAUUUGGCUUUUAUAGCCGAAUCCUAUUAUUAAACUAUCUUCUAUCUACCUAUUUACUGCCAUUGCUGUUAGCAUGCUCUGUGGUUGCAUUCAAUUUCUUUGCAGGUAGCAGUGGUAGAGGCGGCCGAGGUGUCAGACGCAGUGGCAGAGGCGUGCGUUGGAGGUGCGGCAGACGAGGAGGCCACGCAUGGAAGCCUGCGGCGCAAAAAAAGGGUUAGGGAUCCUAGGGUUUUCUGAAAAUGUUAAACAUUUUGGGCCAUUGGGUCGCCUAGGUUUUUUUAUUUUGGGUUUGGGCUGUUUGGGCCCUAUUGUAAAUGGACUGGCAUUGGGUUUUAAUUUCUGCUUGAUUUUGGUUUGGGUCAUGUUGGGCCCCGGGCAAAAAUGAGCCAUUACAACAAUGUUAACAAUUGGACUUGAUUUUUAAAUUUGAAAAGUAAAUGGGCCAAAUUCUUAAAAA